GACGAACGCUGGCGGCGUGCUUAACACAUGCAAGUCGAACGGAAAGGCCCUGCUUUUGUGGGGUGCUCGAGUGGCGAACGGGUGAGUAACACGUGAGUAACCUGCCCUUGACUUUGGGAUAACUUCAGGAAACUGGGGCUAAUACCGGAUAGGAGCUCCUGCUGCAUGGUGGGGGUUGGAAAGUUUCGGCGGUUGGGGAUGGACUCGCGGCUUAUCAGCUUGUUGGUGGGGUAGUGGCUUACCAAGGCUUUGACGGGUAGCCGGCCUGAGAGGGUGAUCGGCCACACGGGAACUGAGACACGGUCCAGGCUGCUACGGGAGGCAGCAGAAGGCAACGUUCCGCAAUGGGCGAAAGCCUGACGGAACAACGCCGAGUGAGAUAUGAAGGUCUUCGGAGCGGAAAGCUCGGGUAGUAGGGAAGAACAGAUGUGUAAGUAACUGUGCACAUCUUGACGGUACCUAAUCAGAAAGCCACGGCUAACUACGUG
RNAcentral lists this ribosomal RNA (488 nucleotides) under uncultured bacterium. Its description in RNAcentral is "partial 16S ribosomal RNA". It matches the Rfam family "Bacterial small subunit ribosomal RNA", at positions 28 to 507 of the family's 1533-position model. The record is from RNAcentral.